AAAGUAGUGUACUAUAUAGGGAAUAGGGUCCCUGUGGGCCCUGGUCUAAAGUAGUGUACUAUAUAGGGAAUAGUGUUCCAUAAGUCCCUGGUUAAAAGUAGUGCACUACAUAGGGAAUAUGGGAUCAUUUGGGAUGCAGCCCACAGACUUCACCUCACGUCUGUUUUAACCAUUUCAGUGUUGUGACCCACGUUACGGCUUCCAUUCCCCUGCCGGGAUAUCUUCGUCAGAUCACCUCAUGCCAUUUUCUGGCUACAUGCCAUUUUCUGGCUACAUGUCAUUUUCUGGCUACAUGUCAUUUGAGAUAGUUGUUCCUGACAGUUUGUUCAUUUCCUUGAACCUCCUCAAAGCGACUGAAAGAAGAAUUAAAUUCUUGUGACUGAUAGGAAGAGAGCAUUUCCUGAUCCAGCGACAGACAGAACCACUCUUCUACUCAACAAUACCUUGGUGCUAAUAGAUAAACGCAUAUGACCUUUGACCUCUCUGAGGGGGAGGAGUUGUUACGUGGUUUCCAUGGUUUCCAUGGUCUCUGCCGGGCAGUUGUUGUUGAAAGCUGUCUCUCUCUCUCCCAUUUUUUCCUCCUCUUGUAUAACAAUCUGCUCUUGUCCCUGACUCUAAACGGGUGAAGACAAUCACCCAGCAAGGUGUCUAACACCCUUCUCCUCAUGUCUCCUUCAGAAAGCUGUCUGUCUCUCUCCAUCUCUUCUCCUCAUGUCUCCUUCAGAAAGCUGUCUGUCUCUCUCCAUCUCCUCUCCUCCUCAUGUCUCCUUCAGAAAGCUGUCUGUCUCUCUCCAUCUCUUCUCCUCAUGCCUCCUUCAGAAAGCUGUCUGUCUCUCUCCAUCUCUUCUCCUCAUGUCUCCUCAGAAAGCUGUCUGUCUCUCUCCAUCUCCUCUUCUCCUCAUGCCUCCUUCAGAAAGCUGUCUGUCUCUCUCCAUCUCUUCUCCUCAUGUCUCCUUCAGAAAGCUGUCUGUCUCUCUCCAUCUCUUCUCCUCAUGUCUCCUUCAGAAAGCUGUCUGUCUCUCUCCAUCUCCUCUCCUCCUCAUGUCUCCUUCAGAAAGCUGUCUGUCUCUCUCCAUCUCUUCUCCUCAUGUCUCCUUCAGAAAGCUGUCUGUCUCUCUCCAUCUCCUCUCCUCCUCAUGUCUCCUUCAGAAAGCUGUCUGUCUCUCUCCAUCUCCUCUUCUCCUCAUGUCUCCUUCAGAAAGCUGUCUGUCUCUCUCCAUCUCUUUUCCUCAUGUCUCCUUCAGAAAGCUGUCUGUCUCUCUCCAUCUCUUCUCCUCAUGCCUCCUUCAGAAAGCUGUCUGUCUCUCUCCAUCUCUUCUCCUCAUGUCUCCUCAGAAAGCUGUCUGUCUCUCUCCAUCUCCUCUUCUCCUCAUGUCUCCUUCAGAAAGCUGUCUGUCUCUCUCCAUCUCUUCUCCUCAUGUCUCCUUCAGAAAGCUGUCUGUCUCUCUCCAUCUCUUCUCCUCAUGUCUCUUUCAGAAAGCUGUCUGUCUCUCUCCAUCUCUUCUCCUCAUGUCUCUUUCAGAAAGCUGUCUGUCUCUCUCCAUCUCUUCUCCUCAUGUCUCCUUCAGAAAGCUGUCUGUCUCUCUCCAUCUCUUCUCCUCAUGUCUCCUUCAGAAAGCUGUCUGUCUCUCUCCAUCUCUUCUCCUCGUGUCUCCUCAGAAAGCUGUGAAGAAGCAGCCAAACAGUAUAAUUCAUGUAUUUCAAAAGAUCUAAAACAGAAGUGUUUAAUUAAUUGUUAUCAGGGGCGAAAUCUGGAUAAAACUAAAAACAUUUAAAAAGAAUAAUUCAAUUAUUCUUUGAAAAGCUCUACCUACUGCUAUAUCCUUCUGUUGAUCUCCUCUUCUCCUUGAUCUGUCUGUCUCUCCAUCUCCUCUUCUCCUUGAUCUGUCUGUCUCUCCAUCUCCUCUUCUCCUUGAUCUGUCUCUCUCAUCUCCUCUUCUCCUUGAUCUGUCUGUCUCUCCAUCUCCUCUUCUCCUUGAUCUGUCUCUCUCUCUCAUCUCCUCUUCUCCUUGAUCUGUCUCUCUCUCUCAUCUCCUCCUCUCCUUGAUCUGUCUCUCUCUCAUCUCCUCUUCUCCUUGAUCUGUCUGUCUCUCCAUCUCCUCUUCGAUCUGUCUCUCUCUCCAUCUCCUCUUCUCCUUGAUCUGUCUCUCUCUCCAUCACGACUAAAACCCAAAGUGCACGCAGACACUGGGCUAGUCAAACCAAAUGGGCAGAAAUAACAGGACUAAAACCCAAAGUUGAAGCGCAUACAGCUGUGAAACCAUAUAACUAUUUGGUAACAAUGCAGACCUCAUAAUAAAUAAAAACCUAAAUGAAUUAAGAUUAAUAAAAUACAAAAAAAAAAAUACAAAAAAAAAAAUGUUUGUUACUUUCCUUUGUUGCUUGUCACAUUUAUAUUACAAUUACAUUGAGAGUUUGAUUUGUUGAGUACCACGGAUACAAUUUGAAAUUGUUGAUGCUUAUUUGAAAAGGAAGUUGUUUUGACUCAAGCAGUGGUCACCAUCGAUGAUGAACCUCGUUUUUCUCUCCUCUCCUCUCCUCUCCUCUCC
This 2549-nucleotide long non-coding RNA is filed under the name Salmo salar (Atlantic salmon). RNAcentral's name for it is "lncRNA (ENSSSAG00000094308.1)". Lineage: Eukaryota; Metazoa; Chordata; Actinopteri; Salmoniformes; Salmonidae. The record is from RNAcentral.